Long non-coding RNA from Lucilia sericata (common green bottle fly), 720 nucleotides. RefSeq lists it as uncharacterized. The record is from RefSeq and is a predicted model, not a curated record. Lineage: Eukaryota; Metazoa; Arthropoda; Insecta; Diptera; Calliphoridae. The transcript is spliced from 3 exons.
AUGUAUUUAACUAAAAUGUAAACAAAUCGAAAAAAAAAUUAUUAAACAAAUAAACAACAGAUGAAACAAAUAAACACUGGCGAAUAAAAUAGCAAAAAAAAGGAAAUUUAAUAAAUGAAAAACAAAAUAAUUGUUAAACUUGAAGUGUUUAAACAACUUUGUGUGGUGUGAAUAUUCGUUCGGAUGCGAUCGUGAAAAUUUAUAAAAUGGCAGGAAUGCUAGUAUCACUUUUAUAAAAAAUAUAAUUGCAAAUGGAGUGCAAUAUAAUUUCGUGAAAUUACCCGUAGAAAUGCAAGUUAAAUAAUUUUGAGCAGUUUACAAAAUUAUCUCUCAAUCUGAGUAUAUUACAGAUUGUAGGUUAGAAUUUCACAAAACUUAGUUGCACGUUACCUCGGUAUCAGACAGUCCUGAAUCCGUAUUACUUUCCUGGUGAUUGCUUCUACAGUUUCGGCAACGACAGCGGCAGCGAGGCAUCAGUACGAGAUGACAGUGUUCCAAAUAUUUCUCCUACUUUCCCGUUGGCCAUUGUUCAUUCCAUUUAACCGAACAGUAAGUAGAAUAUCUUAUACUUUUGUUUAAUGUUACAUAUGUUUAGAUACAUGUUUAGAUUUAUGUUUACUUUUAUGUUUAAAUACAAUUCAUUUUUAGUUUUAAAUCUUAAACAUGUUGUUUAAUUGGGACAAUUAACAGAUAGGUAAGUGAACGCGAACUGGUGCAGAA